This is a non-coding RNA of Caenorhabditis elegans, 21 nucleotides long. NCBI's taxonomy places the organism in Eukaryota, Metazoa, Nematoda, Chromadorea, Rhabditida, Rhabditidae. The record is from Ensembl.
UAGAAAGUGGAUGAAGUGGUU